This 402-nucleotide ribosomal RNA is filed under the name uncultured bacterium. Its description in RNAcentral is "bacterial SSU rRNA". It matches the Rfam family "Bacterial small subunit ribosomal RNA", at positions 355 to 774 of the family's 1533-position model. The record is from RNAcentral.
UGGGGAAUAUUGGACAAUGGGCGCAAGCCUGAUCCAGCCAUGCCGCGUGAGUGAUGAAGGCCUUAGGGUUGUAAAGCUCUUUUAGCAGGGAAGAUAAUGACGGUACCUGCAGAAAAAGCCCCGGCUAACUUCGUGCCAGCAGCCGCGGUAAUACGAAGGGGGCUAGCGUUGCUCGGAAUUACUGGGCGUAAAGCGCACGUAGGCGGACUCUUAAGUCGGUGGUGAAAUCCUGGAGCUCAACUCCAGAACUGCCUUCGAUACUGGGAGUCUUGAGUUCGGGAGAGGUGAGUGUAACUGCGAGUGUAGAGGUGAAAUUCGUAGAUAUUCGCAAGAACACCAGUGGCGAAGGCGGCUCACUGGCCCGAUACUGACGCUGAGGUGCGAAAGCGUGGGGAGCAAACA